RNAcentral lists this ribosomal RNA (516 nucleotides) under uncultured bacterium. RNAcentral's name for it is "bacterial SSU rRNA". It matches the Rfam family "Bacterial small subunit ribosomal RNA", at positions 94 to 630 of the family's 1533-position model. The record is from RNAcentral.
AGUGGCGCACGGGUGAGUAACGCGUGGGAACCUGCCCUGGAGUGAGGGAUAACCGAGGGAAACCUCGGCUAAUACCGCAUACGCCCCUUUGCCGUGGAGGUAUUGGGGGAAAGAUUUAUCGCUCUAGGAGGGGCCCGCGUCGGAUUAGCUAGUUGGUGAGGUAACGGCUCACCAAGGCGAUGAUCCGUAGCUGGUCUGAGAGGAUGAUCAGCCACACUGGGACUGAGACACGGCCCAGACUCCUACGGGAGGCAGCAGUGGGGAAUAUUGGACAAUGGGGGCAAUCCUGAUCCAGCAAUGCCGCGUGAGUGAUGAAGGCCUUAGGGUUGUAAAGCUCUUUCGGCGGGGACGAUGAUGACGGUACCCGCAGAAGAAGCCCCGGCUAACUUCGUGCCAGCAGCCGCGGUAAUACGAAGGGGGCGAGCGUUGUUCGGAAUUACUGGGCGUAAAGGGCGCGCAGGCGGCUCUUGAAGUCAGGCGUGAAAGCCCCGGGCUCAACCUGGGAGGUGCGCUUGA